Molecule: small nuclear RNA, 184 nt
Gene: U2
Rfam family: U2 spliceosomal RNA
About the family: U2 is a small nuclear RNA (snRNA) component of the spliceosome (involved in pre-mRNA splicing).
Source: Ensembl
ACCUUUAGAAAUCUCAUGUGUAGUAUCUGUUCUUAUCAGUUUAAUAUCUGAUACGUCCCCCAGCGGGGGACUACAUAUUAAGUGGAUUUUUAGAACAGGGAGUCGGCAAAGGAGCUUGCUCCAUGGCCUAGCGGUUAAGGAAGCGGCCCUGUAAUCAGAAGGUUGCAGGUUCGAUUCCCGAUCC